AACGAACGCUGGCGGCAUGCCUAACACAUGCAAGUCGAACGAAGUCUUCGGACUUAGUGGCGCACGGGUGCGUAACGCGUGGGAAUCUGCCCUUGGGUGCGGAAUAACUUCUCGAAAGGGAUGCUAAUACCGCAUAAUGUCGUAAGACCAAAGAUUUAUCGCCCAAGGAUGAGCCCGCGUAAGAUUAGCUAGUUGGUGGGGUAAAAGCCUACCAAGGCGACGAUCUUUAGCUGGUCUGAGAGGAUGAUCAGCCACACUGGGACUGAGACACGGCCCAGACUCCUACGGGAGGCAACAGUGGGGAAUAUUGGACAAUGGGCGAAAGCCUGAUCCAGCAAUGCCGCGUGAGUGAUGAAGGCCCUAGGGUUGUAAGCUCUUUACCAGGGAUGAUAAU
Molecule: ribosomal RNA, 394 nt
Filed under: uncultured bacterium
Lineage: Bacteria
Description: bacterial SSU rRNA
Rfam family: Bacterial small subunit ribosomal RNA
Source: RNAcentral